GAUGAACGCUAGCGGCAGGCUUAAUACAUGCAAGUUGAGGGGCAGCAUGAUAUACGCGAGUAUAUUGAUGGCGACCGGCGGACGGGUGAGUAAUAGGUAGGAGACCUACCUCAUACAGGGGGAUAGCAUAGAGAAAUCUGUGGUAAUACCCCAUGAGGUUAUAUGAAUAGAGGCAUAUAAUCAAAGCAUAAGCGAUUAUGCGGUAUGAGAGGGGCCUACUGACCAUUAGCUAGUUGGUGAGGUAAGGGCUCACCAAGGCGAAGAUGGUUAGGGGUUUUGAGAGAGAGACCCCCCACAUUGGAACUGAGAGACGGUCCAGACUCCUACGGGAGGCAGCAGUAGGGAAUAUUGGGCAAUGGGCGAAAGCCUGACCCAGCCAUGCCGCGUGAAGGAAGACGGCCUUAUGGGUUGUAAACUUCUUACUACGCGAAUAGAGGUUAGUACGAGAUACUAAUAGGAAGGUAGUGUAGUAAAAGCACCGGUAACUCCGUG
RNAcentral lists this ribosomal RNA (492 nucleotides) under uncultured bacterium. Its description in RNAcentral is "bacterial SSU rRNA". It matches the Rfam family "Bacterial small subunit ribosomal RNA", at positions 28 to 507 of the family's 1533-position model. The record is from RNAcentral.